GAGUUUGAUCAUGGCUCAGAUUGAACGCUGGCGGCAUGCCUUACACAUGCAAGUCGAACGGCAGCAUGAUCUAGCUUGCUAGAUUGAUGGCGAGUGGCGAACGGGUGAGUAAUACAUCGGAACGUGCCCUGUAGUGGGGGAUAACUAGUCGAAAGAUUAGCUAAUACCGCAUACGACCUGAGGGUGAAAGUGGGGGACCGCAAGGCCUCAUGCUAUAGGAGCGGCCGAUGUCUGAUUAGCUAGUUGGUGGGGUAAAGGCCCACCACGGCGACGAUCAGUAGCUGGUCUGAGAGGACGAUCAGCCACACUGGGACUGAGACACGGCCCAGACUCCUACGGGAGGCAGCAGUGGGGAAUUUUGGACAAUGGGGGCAACCCUGAUCCAGCAAUGCCGCGUGUGUGAAGAAGGCCUUCGGGUUGUAAAGCACUUUUGUCCGGAAAGAAAUCGCACUUACUAAUAUUAGGUGUGGAUGACGGUACCGGAAGAAUAAGGACCGGCUAACUACGUGCCAGCAGCCGCGGUAAUACGUAGGGUCCAAGCGUUAAUCGGAAUUACUGGGCGUAAAGCGUGCGCAGGCGGUUGUGCAAGACCGAUGUGAAAUCCCCGGGCUUAACCUGGGAAUUGCAUUGGUGACUGCACGGCUAGAGUGUGUCAGAGGGGGGUAGAAUUCCACGUGUAGCAGUGAAAAUGCGUAGAGAUGUGGAGGAAUACCGAUGGCGAAGGCAGCCCCCUGGGAUAACACUGACGCUCAUGCACGAAAGCGUGGGGAGCAAAACAGGAUUAGAUACCCUGGUAGUCCACGCCCUAAACGAUGUCAACUAGUUGUUGGGGAUUCAUUUCCUUAGUAACGUAGCUAACGCGUGAAGUUGACCGCCUGGGGAGUACGGUCGCAAGAUUAAAACUCAAAGGAAUUGACGGGGACCCGCACAAGCGGUGGAUGAUGUGGAUUAAUUCGAUGCAACGCGAAAAACCUUACCUACCCUUGACAUGCCACUAACGAAGCAGAGAUGCAUUAGGUGCUCGAAAGAGAAAGUGGACACAGGUGCUGCAUGGCUGUCGUCAGCUCGUGUCGUGAGAUGUUGGGUUAAGUCCCGCAACGAGCGCAACCCUUGUCUCUAGUUGCUACGAAAGGGCACUCUAGAGAGACUGCCGGUGACAAACCGGAGGAAGGUGGGGAUGACGUCAAGUCCUCAUGGCCCUUAUGGGUAGGGCUUCACACGUCAUACAAUGGUGCAUACAGAGGGUUGCCAAGCCGCGAGGUGGAGCUAAUCCCAGAAAAUGCAUCGUAGUCCGGAUCGUAGUCUGCAACUCGACUACGUGAAGCUGGAAUCGCUAGUAAUCGCGGAUCAGCAUGCCGCGGUGAAUACGU
This 1370-nucleotide ribosomal RNA is filed under the name unidentified marine bacterioplankton. RNAcentral's name for it is "bacterial SSU rRNA". It matches the Rfam family "Bacterial small subunit ribosomal RNA", at positions 9 to 1371 of the family's 1533-position model. The record is from RNAcentral.